UGUUGUCUUAAAGGAAGUAUAGAAACAGUCUACCUACAUUCCAUAGGCCAAGUUAAAAUCUGCCCUCUGGAGCACAGCAAUUUUGCAACUUCCUGAUACCAGCCAGGAUUCAUAUGCUGUAUGUGCAUAAAUUUAAUGUACUAUAGGAUCUCUAUGGAAGAAUUUUUCUGUUCACUAACCAGGAAAUAUUAGGAAUUUGUUACAGAGGAGAAAAUUGUAGUGGUAUGUAACUGCAUGAAAAUAAAAUGUGAUUUAGCAAUUUAUUGGUGGUACUCUGAGUCAUCGACCUAGAAAGCAAUGAAAUGAGAUUUUUAUACACCACAGGUCAGAGCAGAGGAGGUACUUUAGUUCAGUUAGCAAAACAGAAUAAUAACUUGAAAUAUGCUAAAUACUAAAUUUAUAAAAGUAAUACGCAAUUCCUUGC
Long non-coding RNA from Strigops habroptila (Kakapo), 424 nucleotides. RefSeq lists it as uncharacterized. Lineage: Eukaryota; Metazoa; Chordata; Aves; Psittaciformes; Psittacidae. The transcript is spliced from 4 exons. The record is from RefSeq and is a predicted model, not a curated record.